UACAGAGGGUGCGAGCGUUAAUCGGAAUUACUGGGCGUAAAGCGUGCGUAGACGGCUAUCUAAGUCGGGUGUGAAAGCCCCGGGCUCAACCUGGGAAUGGCAUUUGGGACUGCAUAGCUAGGGUGCGGAAGAGGGAAGCGGAAUUUCCGGUGUAGCGGUGAAAUGCGUAGAGAUGUGGAGGAACACCGAUGGCGAAGGCAGCCUUCUGGGCCAACACUGACGCUCAUGCACGAAAGCGUGGGGAGCAAACAGG
RNAcentral lists this ribosomal RNA (253 nucleotides) under uncultured bacterium. Its description in RNAcentral is "partial 16S ribosomal RNA". It matches the Rfam family "Bacterial small subunit ribosomal RNA", at positions 524 to 776 of the family's 1533-position model. The record is from RNAcentral.